AUUGAACGCUGGCGGAAUGCUUUACACAUGCAAGUCGAACGGUAGAGGGGGCAACCCCUCGAGAGUGGCGAACGGGUGAGUAAUAUAUCGGAACGUGCCCAGUCGUGGGGGAUAACGUAGCGAAAGUUACGCUAAUACCGCAUACGAUCUAAGGAUGAAAGCGGGGGAUCGCAAGACCUCGCGCGAUUGGAGCGGCCGAUAUCAGAUUCGGGAGUUGGUGGGGUCAAGGCUCACCAAGCCAACGAUCUGUAGCUGGUCUGAGAGGACGACCAGACACAUUGGAACGGAGGAACGGUCCGGACUCCUACGGGAGACAGCAGUGGGAAAUUUCGGUCAAGGGACGCAAGUCUGAUCCAGCCAGUCCGCGUGCAGGAUGAAGGCCCUCGGGUUAUAAACUGCUUUUGUACAGAACGAAAAGGUUUCUACUAAUACUAGGAGCUCAUGACGGUACUGUAAGAAUAAGCACCGGCUAACUACGUGCCAGCAGCCGCCGUAA
RNAcentral lists this ribosomal RNA (496 nucleotides) under uncultured bacterium. RNAcentral describes it as "partial 16S ribosomal RNA". It matches the Rfam family "Bacterial small subunit ribosomal RNA", at positions 30 to 523 of the family's 1533-position model. The record is from RNAcentral.